This 558-nucleotide ribosomal RNA is filed under the name uncultured bacterium. RNAcentral describes it as "bacterial SSU rRNA". It matches the Rfam family "Bacterial small subunit ribosomal RNA", at positions 338 to 916 of the family's 1533-position model. The record is from RNAcentral.
CCUACGGGAGGCAGCAGUGGGGAAUCUUGCACAAUGGAGGAAACUCUGAUGCAGCGAUGCCGCGUGAGUGAAGAAGGCCCUUGGGUUGUAAAGCUCUUUCGUCGGGGAAGAAAAUGACUGUACCCGAAUAAGAAGGUCCGGCUAACUUCGUGCCAGCAGCCGCGGUAAUACGAAGGGACCUAGCGUAGUUCGGAAUUACUGGGCUUAAAGAGUUCGUAGGUGGUUGAAAAAGUUAGUGGUGAAAUCCCAGAGCUUAACUCUGGAACUGCCAUUAAAACUUUUCAGCUAGAGUAUGAUAGAGGAAAGCAGAAUUUCUAGUGUAGAGGUGAAAUUCGUAGAUAUUAGAAAGAAUACCAAUUGCGAAGGCAGCUUUCUGGAUCAUUACUGACACUGAGGAACGAAAGCAUGGGUAGCGAAGAGGAUUAGAUACCCUCGUAGUCCAUGCCGUAAACGAUGUGUGUUAGACGUUGGAAAUUUAUUUUCAGUGUCGCAGCGAAAGCGAUAAACACACCGCCUGGGGAGUACGACCGCAAGGUUAAAACUCAAAGGAAUUGACGG